Molecule: long non-coding RNA, 411 nt
Filed under: Actinidia chinensis (golden kiwifruit)
Lineage: Eukaryota; Viridiplantae; Streptophyta; Magnoliopsida; Ericales; Actinidiaceae
Description: long non-coding RNA (ACHI_LNC002662)
Source: RNAcentral
AAGUUGAAGUCUGUGAAGAUGGUGGGAAGCUUCGUAAUGGGAUGGGUUGUCUUCAGUUGGCUCUUCUGAAGAUAGAUUGGAUACCACUUGCUCUCUCUCUCUCUCUCUCUCUCUCUCUCUCUCUCUUCUCUCCGGCAUCUCUCUCUCUCUCUCUCUCUCGAUCAUUUUUUUUUAAAAAAAAAACUUAUUAAUUAAUCUUUGUCCCCAUGUUUAAUUAGUUGUCAUGUUCUCCUAUUUAAUGCCAUUUGUUCUUUGUAUUAAAAUUGUUGGUCGUUGGCUUGAUUUGGAUUCUCUGGGGAUUUAUUUACCACAUUGGCUUUGUAAAAUUCGGAGUUUGAGGGGGUAAUUUAGUAACUUUUCUGUUGACUCACUUCACUUCUUUCCUUUUCGAGUUUGGAUCAUACGCGCCCA